AUCACUUCUCGGCCUUUUGGCUAAGAUCAAGUGUGGAAAUACUCUUUUCUGAAAGCAUCUUAUUCUAAUUUCUUUAUAAGAAUUGUGGAACUGUUUUGUCAAAAUCUCCCUCCCACACUUUAUUAGUACUGGGUUCAGUUAUCCAAAUUUAAAAAGCUAA
This 160-nucleotide small nuclear RNA is filed under the name Heterocephalus glaber (naked mole-rat). Its description in RNAcentral is "U2 spliceosomal RNA (ENSHGLG00000032277.1)". Lineage: Eukaryota; Metazoa; Chordata; Mammalia; Rodentia; Bathyergidae. The record is from RNAcentral.